CGGCCGGGUGGAGAUAGGAAGGGGGGAUGGGGGGAGGGUUGUGUGGCAGAAGGGGAAGGGAAACAACAGGUGUUGUACAUAGCCUGCAUUUGGUAGAUGUAUAUAAUAUAUAUACAGACAUCCGGUGGUAAAUACAUGAUACAGACAAGACCAGUUUAGUGGGUAUACACUGUGCUGAUAGGGUUACUGUUACAGGGGUAAGGAGAGUAGGAACAGAGAAACAUGUUGAUGGUGGCGAUGUUAUAUAUUGUAUAUAAAUGCUAGCAUAGGGUAGUGUGUUUCUGUCAGUGUUAUUUUGAGAAUAACUUUAAAUACUUUGGUGUUGAAAGCAGUAUAGUGAGAUUGUGAUGUUUGUGUUAAAUACUUUGGUGUUAAAAGCAGUAUAGUGAGAUUGUGAUGUUUGUGUUAAAUACUUUGGUGUUAAAAGCAGUAUAGUGAGAUUGUGAUGUUUGUGUUCUAUUGACAGAAGUGAGUGCCUGUGAGGAGGAGCACACUGCUGUACUUUAGCGCCGUGUGUGUGUGUGUGUGUGAGUGAGGAGGAGGAGCACACUGCUGUACUUUAGCGCCGUGUUUGUGUGUGUGUGUGUGUGUGUGUGUGAGUGAGGAGGAGCACACUGCUGUACUUUAGCGCCGUGUGUGUGUGUGUGUGUGUGUGAGGAGGAGCAUACUGCUGUACUUUAGCGCAGUGUGAGAGACUUUAUCUCUGUGCCCUGUGUGUGUGCGUGUGUGUGUGUGUGUGUCUGUGGCCUGGGUCUCUAUCAUUAUGCCCAGUGUGUGUGUGUGUGUGUGUGUGUGUGUGGCCUGGGUCUCUCAUUAUGCCCAGUGUCUGACAUCUAAUCUCCCCCCAGCACACUCCGAGGGGGGAGGGGGGAGGGUGCAGCGUGCCAGUCACUCAGAAUUACCACUUUACCAAACUUCACACUACAGUCUAAUGCACCACUGUCUGGAUAGAACUACAAGUUGGAUUUCUGGAUAGAAAUCAAGCCACAAUCCUGAAGGACCUGUGAUGGUGUACAUUAUAUAUUAUAUAUGUUUUAUUAUUUUUAUAAUAUUUAAUUCAUUCAGAAUAAUCAACACACUCUAGAAAUGCUAUAGAUUUAUUUGACACUAGUAGAAAAACAGGAAGAACAAAUGAAACAGGAAAUAGGACCUGACAUGAGAACAGAACUCUGGGAAGCAUUUCCAUAAAUAAUGAAAGAAAAGUCACACACACACACACGCACACACACACAGGCGUAACAGGACACUGAAACUUCUACUCUAAGAUGGCAGAAAAGAGACUGAAGACCUGAGGUAAAACAUCAGAGAAACCUCUCCUCAGAAGUCCAGAUAUUUUUUAAGUUUUUCUUUUCUUUCUUUACGAUAUAUAUACACACACACACACACACCUAUCUGGGUGAGGACACACACUUCAGAGCUACCCAGAAAGCAUCUGGUUUACAUGACAUACAGCAGUUCCACCAUUCUGCUCUCGCAUACUCAGAUGGACGACACCCCCCCCCCCCCUUAUUAGGACAUCUCUACACCCCC
Long non-coding RNA from Clupea harengus (Atlantic herring), 1530 nucleotides. NCBI's taxonomy places the organism in Eukaryota, Metazoa, Chordata, Actinopteri, Clupeiformes, Clupeidae. The record is from Ensembl.